Molecule: long non-coding RNA, 553 nt
Organism: Pseudopipra pipra
Lineage: Eukaryota; Metazoa; Chordata; Aves; Passeriformes; Pipridae
Exons: 2
Source: RefSeq, a predicted model, not a curated record
CACAGCUCAUUGUGCAUGUAAGCGUAUUCAAAAGUGUGACAUAAAGGAAAUGCACUUAUCUUGAUGGAAAAUAUAAGAGUCCAGAUUUGCCAAGGCCUUCAGUUAUUUUACAAGGUCCGAAACAGAGGGAGGAGGUGCCAGUCAAAACCUUUGAUUUCUUCUGUCUCUCUCAUCUUCCCUCUUUUUUAGAGGUUUCUUGGGAAAUGAGAGGAACACAUAUACAUCAGAUGUGCUGCUUACAUCUGGGAAGAGAGGACAUAUGUGUCAGGUGGACAGAUACACCAAGGAAAUGUAAUUCUAUUGGAAUACAAAGUGUUUGAGACAAAAGGCAGUUCCAGUUCUUCUUAACUCUGUUGGAUACAUUAUCUCAGUGAUCAUAUGGAUAAAAUUUUCAGAUUGGAAGCUGUCACAAGACAAUGAGAAUGACUGAAAAUGGAGCACAUUUUUUGUAUCUCCAGCCUGCAGAUGAGGAUCCAAUUUCCCAAUUACCUCUUUUGUCUUUCUUCAUCCCAACUGCUGCUCCAAUAAUAAACCAAAAUCUUUUUCUAUCAGA